Long non-coding RNA from Oncorhynchus tshawytscha (Chinook salmon), 1395 nucleotides. The record is from Ensembl. Lineage: Eukaryota; Metazoa; Chordata; Actinopteri; Salmoniformes; Salmonidae.
CAAUACGUAAGACACUAAACAAGAAUGGUGUUCAUGGGAGGACACCACGGAAGAAGCCACUGCUGUCCAAAUAAAACAUUGCUACACUGUCUGAAUUUUGUCAAAGUGCACCUGGAUGUUCCACAACGCUACCAGCAUAAUGUUCUGUGGACAGAUGAAACUGCAGUUGAGUUGUUUGGAAGGAACACACAACACCGUGUGGAGGAAAAGGCACAGCACACCAACAUCAAAACAUCAUCCCAACUGUAAAGUAUGGUGGAGGGAGCAUCAUGGUUUGGGGCUGCUUUGCUGCCCCAGGGCCUGGUCAGCUUGCUAUCGUUGACAGAAAAAUGAAUUCCCAUGUUUAUCAAGACAUUUUGAAGGAGAAUGUUCGGCUAACUGUUCUCCAAUUGAACCUCAACAGAAGUUGGGAGAUGCAACAGGACAAUGAUGCAAAACACAGAAGUAAAUCAACAGAAGAAAAUAAGCCUUCUGGAGUGGCCCAGUCAGAGUCCUGACCUCAACCCCAUUGAGAUGCUGUGGCAUGACCUCGAGAGCAGUUCACACCAGACAUCCCAAGAAUAUUGCUGAACUGAAACAGUUUUGUAAAGAGGAAUGGUGUUACAUUUAUUGUUUCUGUAUUGUGUUUUUUUUUGUAUGUGUGUUUCAGGAUGGCUUCCUAAAAUUCCCCCAAGCAGCUGAUUGGUCGGCCCCAUUGCUAAUUGGAGCUGAACCCGCCCUCUCGUCAGAGGAUACAGCUGUUUCCCAUUGGACUCCUCCUGAAGCUAGAAAAGCCUGUGUUCCUUUGUUAGGAGAGAGCUGAUUGUUAUGUUCUGUGCUAGUUUGUUGCUCAGAGAAAGAGAGCUUAUUAGUAUGUCCUGUGUGUGUCAAUAGGACGCAGUGUUUUUGAUUCUUGAAGUUGUUUACUUAUGUUUGUAUUCUGUUUCAUUUGUUCCCAGGGGGGAAGGGGAAGGCAACUAGGGAGUGCUUAGGCAAGAGGCCUGCGGGAAUACAUAACCAGUAGUAUUUACAGUCUAUGCACACUAGGUAAGACCUGGGCGGACCACCCCCUGUAUUUUGGUUAGCGCACCAGGAGGUGCUAAAAGGUUAGGUAAGUGGGUAGGCAGGUAAGAUAGGAGAGGGCAGGUUAGGUUAGGUAAGAUAGGAGUGGGUAGGCAGGUAAGAUAGGAGAGGGUAGGUUAGGUAAGUAGUGGGUAGGCAGGUAAGAUAGGAGAGGGUAGGUUAGGUAAGUAGUGGGUAGGCAGGUAAGAUAGGAGAGGGCAGGUUAGGUAAGUAGUGGGUAGGCAGGUAAGAUGGUAGAUGGGGCUUUGACAUUUACUUUCUUUGCUUUGGUUCCGUUCAGCUCCUUUCCCUCAAAUGUAUCGUGUGAAGGAAUAAAUUACCAGUAAAGGGUCA